UACAGAGGGGGCAAGCGUUGUUCGGAAUUACUGGGCGUAAAGGGCGCGUAGGCGGCCCGCUAAGUCGAACGUGAAAUCCCUGGGCUCAACCCAGGAACUGCGUCCGAUACUGGCAGGCUUGAAUCCGGGAGAGGGAUGCGGAAUUCCAGGUGUAGCGGUGAAAUGCGUAGAUAUCUGGAGGAACACCGGUGGCGAAGGCGGCAUCCUGGACCGGCAUUGACGCUGAGGCGCGAAAGCCAGGGGAGCAAACGGG
RNAcentral lists this ribosomal RNA (253 nucleotides) under uncultured bacterium. Its description in RNAcentral is "partial 16S ribosomal RNA". It matches the Rfam family "Bacterial small subunit ribosomal RNA", at positions 524 to 776 of the family's 1533-position model. The record is from RNAcentral.